UACGAAGGGUGCAAACGUUGCUCGGAAUUAUUGGGCGUAAAGCGCACGUAGGCGGCUUUGCAAGUCCCAUGUGAAAUCCCACGGCUCAACCGUGGAAGUGCAUGGGAAACUGCAGAGCUUGAGUACUUAAGAGGAUCGCGGAAUUCCCGGUGUAGAGGUGAAAUUCGUAGAUAUCAGGAGGAACACCAGCGGCGAAGGCGGCGCUCUGGGCCGGAACUGACGCUGAGGAGCGAAAGCGUGGGUAGCAAACAGG
This 253-nucleotide ribosomal RNA is filed under the name uncultured bacterium. Its description in RNAcentral is "partial 16S ribosomal RNA". It matches the Rfam family "Bacterial small subunit ribosomal RNA", at positions 524 to 776 of the family's 1533-position model. The record is from RNAcentral.